AACCUUCUUCCUCUCUGUGUCCUGUUCUUCCAGUAGUAAUGGCUGGGUUUUGGACACAUCUUGUCCUGCAUAUUUGCCUCUUCUGACGCUGUCAAGAGCAGAACAGUGUUGUGGUAGCAGGAGACAUAAACAAGAUGAAGAACAUUAAUUCUCCCUGACUUAAAUCAUAGGCAGUGUUAUCUAGGCUCUGAACUUAGUUUGUAUCCAGAUAAUAAUGGGAAGCAGGAUGAAACAUUUUUGUUUCCAUUCCAGGCCUUUUAAUAGCAAAUAUUUCUCCUUGGAAGAAAUGUUUUCCUAACUGGACAUUUUUUCUCCAAAAAUGGAAGUUCCACUCUACUGGGUUGGUGUGAGAAAACUUUGAGCUAACAAAUCCUUGCCACUGGACUCCUGAGGAUCCUGAGAGAGCAAAGGCCUUAAACCUUGAUGAGGAUCAGCAGAAAGGGAUGUGGUCCCUGGCAGGGUGGACAAGAGAUUUUAUGAUUUCUGGGAGAAGUACUUGUUUCAACUUAUUAAGCUGAAGAUCAAAAGAAGUGAAGAUUUCAAGUGGACUCUCCAAUAAAAGUCACCAUGUCCCAGGAAGACCGGUCGUGUUCCUAAGUUACAAAAGCAGUAGUUUAUUAGGUAGAUAUAAUUCAUUACAGAAAAAUAAAAGCUUUUAUUUCCAAGACAGUAUUUUAAAAGAAAUCCAUCUCCUAGCAUGUUGGACCUCAGAUUUUUUUUCAGUAUACUGUUAAUACCAGUUUUAAGACAAUUAACAAAACCUUCAGUUCAUCUCAGAGGGAGGUUAAAUCAAACAGCAGGAGGGUAUCAGUAUUUUUUACAAUAACAUUUCAAUCAUUGACCCUAUGACGGCCCCACUAGUGCAACCCACUAUUUCCUUUAUUAAAGCCUGAACAUUUCACAGAGUUCAUCCCUGACACCAGGGUUUCCAGGCUGAAGUCACAGCACACAGGGCUGCCAAGUGCCUUUCACCAAAACACAGCAUGAAGGCUGCUGUAUCCACAACAUGAAGGCUGUUAUAUAGCUCAGAUUCUGAUCCUAAAACCCUCAUCCAUGCCUGCCAAAAAUGACCUGAAAGGCUUCUUCAGGUAGCACCAGUGUGGGUCAGGCCAAAGUACCUAAUGCCUGAGCUUGUGUGCAUUUCUGCCUCUGUCAGCUGGGCACCUGGAAAAGAUAAAACACACUUACUGCAACCAGUUCUGCACUCCAGUCUGCUCCUGCACCAAGAUCACAUCCUGAAUGUGGAAAAUGUCCUUAUGCAAAUCUCAGAUUGUGUUCACUGAUGUUUUGCAUUUGGGUUUGUUUUCCUUAUUCAGCAUAGUAAGGGCUUCAGGAUAGCAGUAAAGCUACUGUACAGCUAACUGAACUCCUAUACCAUUAGGCAAAUUAAUUUUACAUAUAAAUUAUUUAAAUUUAAUCUGUGAUUAGUUCCCUGUAUGAGCAGUGAUACCACUAUAGCACAAGUAUUUUCCUUUUUAGAGAAUUGCAGCAUGAUAAAUAAAUGAAUAAAGACUUACAGAAAUGUAUUCCAGCACAUGUGUUGAGAAGCGUUCUUAUCAGAAAUCUUGGAAAUCACAAUAUUCCCUAUGGCCCCCUAGUCUGCAUUAAAAAUAACUAAAGACUGUAGUCAUAAUUUUUUUUUUUCAAAACAUGAAAUGCAUUUUAUGCAACAAUGCCUCACAUGAGACACAAACUCAACUGAGCUUACAAAUAUUAGACAUUAGCUCUUUGCAUAGCCUUGCUUCAGCUAACAGGCCCUAUUGGUAGCUGCAGAUGCAUUGAAACCCAGUUUUUAGAUUAAAAUUCAUGAAAGAUGUCUCACAUUUUCACUGAAAUGUCUAUUGUUGGCUUUCUAGUAGUGGCGAGGGAGGAGGAAAGAGAGAAAAAAUUAAGAAAUGUGGUAAGUAGUACUACUCCAUUUGCCUCAGAAUAGCAAAAACAAUUUCAGUUCUUUUGUAAUCAGUUAUAAUUCCUCAUAUUGCAGUCAGUAUUGCCUGUCCUGACUCUUGAUUCUUGAACACAACUCACCCUGAUAAAAAUGAGAUAAUAUUUGAUGAUUUUGGUGGUUGCUGCCCAGUUUUGGGGGUUUUUUGCAUUCAUGAAUCAAAAUGGUUAUUAGGAUGGAGAUCUUAAUAAGACAUCCACAAGAGGAAUAAAUAGAUAAAAAAGCUAAUAUAAACAAUCUAGUUUAUUAAUAUUCAGAGGAAGAGGUUUACUUUUAAAGGGCUAGCUCUGCUGGUCUCAUUCAUGGUCACAAAUCCACUUUGCAGCUCAUUGUCAUUAAUAUCAGAAAAAUACUGAUAGUAAAUAGCCACACAGGGAAUAGGUAAAAUUAAAGCCUCAAAUCUCUAAAUUUCUUCUAGGUUUUUUAUUAAUAGCCUCAGAAAUCUGCUUGAGUGUUUUUGUGUCUGCAAACAAUAAUAAACAGGAAAAAAACAAUAAUAAACAGGAAAAAAAAGGGGUUUGCAUUUGGUCAUUCAUAAGCAUAUUCUUGUCUGUUUUUCAAGCAGGGUGUGAUCCCACUAACUUGUUUAGUUGAUAACCUCAUAUGACCCAACAAGUCCUCACAGAAUGAACCCCUGGCUAUUUCUUUUUCUUCCUCCUCUAUGCCAGUGAUUUCCUAAUUCCGUCUCCAGUCGAGCUGCCUUGUCCAAAAAAAAUCAGACUGUGACAACUGUGAGCCUAUUACAUGCACAUCUGCUUAACAAAGUAUUGGAAGAGAAUUGUUGAUUUUUUUGUGGGUUUUUUUUUCUCUGAGGGGGAGGGCUUGGGGUCAGACAGAGGUGCUAAUGAUUUUUUUGUUUCAGAGUUUUUGUUUCUGCUUUAUUAAUAAGGGCUUAACAAUGGUAAUUUGGAAAAAAGAACCUGUUGAAAUAUAAAAAAUCACAAGCAGAGGUUAGUAGGAAGAAGAAUAUAAUUUCUGUGCAAUUCAAAGCCAUGCUGCAAGGCAUGUUUGCUAAAAGCAAUAUAUUUCUAUCAGCAGAACCAUUCCAUAGUAGAAGCACUCAUUUUGUAGUAGUCCUGUGAAAUAUAUGUGAAAGGAUUUGAGAAAUUGUCUUCUAUGCAAAUAAACCUCAUUGUCUCAUUGUAAAUUUGCCUACAAGUAGUGGACUGGUAUCCUUCAAGUAAUUUUUUAUUUUCUAGAAGAAAAAUACAAGGGGUUAUUUUGAACUGAAAAUUAACAUUUUAAA
Zonotrichia albicollis (white-throated sparrow) is the source of this 3191-nucleotide long non-coding RNA. RefSeq lists it as uncharacterized. The record is from RefSeq and is a predicted model, not a curated record. NCBI's taxonomy places the organism in Eukaryota, Metazoa, Chordata, Aves, Passeriformes, Passerellidae.